Molecule: ribosomal RNA, 285 nt
Filed under: uncultured prokaryote
Description: partial 16S ribosomal RNA
Rfam family: Bacterial small subunit ribosomal RNA
Source: RNAcentral
UACGUAGGGGCGAGCGUUACCCGGAAUCACUGGGCGUAAAGGGAGCGUAGGUGGCCUGACAUGUCGACUGUGAAAACCCGGAGCUCAACUCCGGACUUGCAGUUGAAACUGCCAGGCUUGAGGACGGUAGAGGAAGACGGAACUGCCAGUGUAGGGGUAAAAUCCUUAGAUAUUGGCAGGAACGCCGGUGACGAAGGUGGUUUUCUGGGCCGGUUCUGACACUGAUGCUCGAAAGCCAGGGGAGCGAACGGGAUUAGAUACCCCGGUAGUCCCUGAGCGGGCUGG